CCUACGGGUGGCAGCAGUGAGGAAUAUUGGGCAAUGGACGGAAGUCUGAACCAGCCAUGCCGCGUGCAGGAAGACGGCUCUCUGAGUUUUAAACUGCUUUUGUACAGGGGUACACCUGAAUACGUGUAUUCCGCUGAAAUUACUGUACGAAUAAGGAUCGGCUAACUCCGUGCCAGCAGCCGCGGUAAUACGGAGGAUCCAAGCGUUAUCCGGAUUUAUUGGGGUUAAAGGGUGCGUAGGCGGCUUGAGAAGUUAGAGGUGAAAUGUCCGAGCUUAACUCGGGAACUGCCUCUAAUACUGUUGAUCUAGAGAGUAGAAGCGGUAGGCGGAAUGUAUGGUGUAGCGGUGAAAUGCGUAGAGAUC
Molecule: ribosomal RNA, 363 nt
Filed under: uncultured bacterium
Lineage: Bacteria
Description: partial 16S ribosomal RNA
Rfam family: Bacterial small subunit ribosomal RNA
Source: RNAcentral